Molecule: ribosomal RNA, 253 nt
Filed under: uncultured bacterium
Lineage: Bacteria
Description: partial 16S ribosomal RNA
Rfam family: Bacterial small subunit ribosomal RNA
Source: RNAcentral
GACAGAGGGUGCAAACGUUGUUCGGAAUUACUGGGCGUAAAGCGAGUGUAGGCGGUCUGCUAAGUCGGGUGUGAAAGCCCCGGGCUUAACCUGGGAAUGGCAUUUGGGACUGCAAGGCUUGAGUGCGGCAGAGGAGACUGGAAUUCCUGGUGUAGCAGUGAAAUGCGUAGAUAUCAGGAGGAAUACCGAUGGCGAAGGCAGGUCUCUGGGCUGACACUGACGCUCAUGCACGAAAGCGUGGGGAGCAAACAGG